Molecule: ribosomal RNA, 253 nt
Filed under: uncultured bacterium
Lineage: Bacteria
Description: partial 16S ribosomal RNA
Rfam family: Bacterial small subunit ribosomal RNA
Source: RNAcentral
GACAGAGGGUGCAAACGUUGUUCGGAAUUACUGGGCGUAAAGCGUGCGUAGACGGUCAAGUAAGUCGGGUGUGAAAGCCCCGGGCUCAACCUGGGAAUUGCAUUCAAGACUGCGUGGCUAGGGUGCGGAAGAGGGAAGCGGAAUUUCCGGUGUAGCGGUGAAAUGCGCAGAUAUCAGGAAGAACACCCGUGGCGAAGGCGGCUCUCUGGGACGGUACUGACGCUGAGACGCGAAAGCGUGGGGAGCGAACAGG